UACGUAGGGUGCAAGCGUUAAUCGGAAUUACUGGGCGUAAAACGUGCGCAGGCGGUUAUAUAAGACAGAUGUGAAAUCCCCGGGCUCAACCUGGGAACUGCAUUUGUGACUGUAUAGCUAGAGUACGGUAGAGGGGGAUGGAAUUCCGCGUGUAGCAGUGAAAUGCGUAGAUAUGCGGAGGAACACCGAUGGCGAAGGCAAUCCCCUGGACCUGUACUGACGCUCAUGCACGAAAGCGUGGGGAGCAAACAGG
This 253-nucleotide ribosomal RNA is filed under the name uncultured bacterium. RNAcentral's name for it is "partial 16S ribosomal RNA". It matches the Rfam family "Bacterial small subunit ribosomal RNA", at positions 524 to 776 of the family's 1533-position model. The record is from RNAcentral.